This 468-nucleotide ribosomal RNA is filed under the name uncultured bacterium. Its description in RNAcentral is "partial 16S ribosomal RNA". It matches the Rfam family "Bacterial small subunit ribosomal RNA", at positions 28 to 507 of the family's 1533-position model. The record is from RNAcentral.
GACGAACGCUGGCGGCGUGCUUAACACAUGCAAGUCGAACGGAAAGGCCCUGCUUUUGUGGGGUGCUCGAGUGGCGAACGGGUGAGUAACACGUGAGUAACCUGCCCUUGACUUUGGGAUAACUUCAGGAAACUGGGGCUAAUACCGGAUAGGAGCUCCUGCUGCAUGGUGGGGGUUGGACAGUUUCGGCGGUUGGGGAUGGACUCGCGGCUUAUCAGCUUGUUGGUGGGGUAGUGGCUUACCAAGGCUUUGACGGGUAGCCGGCCUGAGAGGGUGACCGGCCACAUUGGGACUGAGAUACGGCCCAGACUCCUACGGGAGGCAGCAGUGGGGAAUAUUGCACAAUGGGCGGAAGCCUGAUGCAGCAACGCCGCGUGCGGGAUGACGGCCUUCGGGUUGUAAACCGCUUUCGCCUGUGACGAAGCGUGAGUGACGGUAAUGGGUAAAGAAGCGCCGGCUAACUACGUG